RNAcentral lists this ribosomal RNA (217 nucleotides) under uncultured Rhodoferax sp. Its description in RNAcentral is "partial 16S ribosomal RNA". It matches the Rfam family "Bacterial small subunit ribosomal RNA", at positions 1163 to 1382 of the family's 1533-position model. The record is from RNAcentral. Lineage: Bacteria; Pseudomonadati; Pseudomonadota; Betaproteobacteria; Burkholderiales; Comamonadaceae.
CCGGAGAAGUGGGGAUGACGUCAAGUCCUCAUGGCCCUUAUAGGUGGGGCUACACACGUCAUACAAUGGCUGGUACAAAGGGUUGCCAACCCGCAGGGGGAGCCAAUCCCAUAAAGCCAGUCGUAGUCCGGAUCGUAGUCUGCAACUCGACUACGUGAAGUCGGAAUCGCUAGUAAUCGUGGAUCAGAAUGUCACGGUGAAUACGUUCCCGGGUCUU